This 253-nucleotide ribosomal RNA is filed under the name uncultured prokaryote. Its description in RNAcentral is "partial 16S ribosomal RNA". It matches the Rfam family "Bacterial small subunit ribosomal RNA", at positions 524 to 776 of the family's 1533-position model. The record is from RNAcentral.
GACGUAGGAUGCAAGCGUUGUCCGGAAUUAUUGGGCGUAAAGAGUUCGUAGGCGGUUAUCUAAGUCCGGUGUUAAAGACGGGAGCUCAACUCCCGCAUGGCAUUGGAAACUGGAUAGCUGGAGUGCAGUAGAGGUCACGGGAAUUCCAGGUGUAGCGGUGAAAUGCGUAGAUAUCUGGAGGAACACCAGUGGCGAAAGCGCGUGACUGGGCUGUAACUGACGCUGAGGAACGAAAGCCAGGGUAGCGAAAGGG